GCCAGCAGCUAUAUCAGCCUGCAGGUCACAACUGACAACCCACUGAAGCUCAGCAGGUAUGAGCCUGGCCAGUACCUGGACAGGAGACCUCCUGGGAAGGCUAAUGUUGCUGCUGGAA
RNAcentral lists this ribosomal RNA (118 nucleotides) under Lepisosteus oculatus (spotted gar). The record is from RNAcentral. Lineage: Eukaryota; Metazoa; Chordata; Actinopteri; Semionotiformes; Lepisosteidae.